RNAcentral lists this ribosomal RNA (497 nucleotides) under uncultured bacterium. RNAcentral describes it as "partial 16S ribosomal RNA". It matches the Rfam family "Bacterial small subunit ribosomal RNA", at positions 28 to 507 of the family's 1533-position model. The record is from RNAcentral.
GAUGAACGCUGGCGGCGUGCCUAAUACAUGCAAGUAGAACGCUGAAGGAAGGAGCUUGCUCUUUCCGGAUGAGUUGCGAACGGGUGAGUAACGCGUAGGUAACCUGCCUGGUAGCGGGGGAUAACUAUUGGAAACGAUAGCUAAUACCGCAUAACAGUAGAUGUUGCAUGAUAUCUACUUAAAAGGUGCAAUUGCACCACUACCAGAUGGACCUGCGUUGUAUUAGCUAGUUGGUGAGGUAACGGCUCACCAAGGCGACGAUACAUAGCCGACCUGAGAGGGGAGGAGGCGACAAUGGGAAAUAGAAACGGGAGAGAAGGCGACGGGAGGCAGCAGGAGGGAGGUAGUGGAGAUGGAUGGAAGGCUGACGGAGCAAGGACGAGGGAGUGAAGGAGGGGGUGGGAGCGUAAAGCCCGGUUGGAAGAGAAGAAAGAGGGUGAGAGUGGAAAGUUCACACUGUGACGGGACCGUACCAGAAAGGGACGGCUAAAUACGUG